GAUGAACGCUGGCGGCGUGCCUAAUACAUGCAAGUCGAGCGGACGGAGGAGAAUCUUGCCUCUCUGAUGUUAGCGGCGGGCGGGUGAUUAAUACGAGGAUAACCGACCUAGAAGGCUGAGAUAAGUUCGGGGAACCUGAUCUAACAUAGGAUAAGAUUUUGAACGGGAGGGUUCAUAAGAGAAAACGGUACCUGCUGUCACUUAGUGGUGUAACCUCGCUGCAUUAGCUAGUUGGUAGGGUAACGGCGUACCAAGGCUACGAUGCAUAGCCGACCUGAGAGGGUGAUCAGCCACACUGGAACUGAGACACGGUCCAGACUCCUACGGGAGGCAGCAGUAGGGAAUAUUCGACAAUGGGCGAAAGCCUGACGGAGCCACGCCGCGUGAGUGAAGAAGGUCUUCGGAUCGUAAAACACUGUAAGUAGGGAAGAACAUAAGUGAAAGUAACUGUGCCCGUCUUGACGUUACCUACAGAGAAAGCAACGGCUAACUACGUG
RNAcentral lists this ribosomal RNA (497 nucleotides) under uncultured bacterium. Its description in RNAcentral is "partial 16S ribosomal RNA". It matches the Rfam family "Bacterial small subunit ribosomal RNA", at positions 28 to 507 of the family's 1533-position model. The record is from RNAcentral.